AACGACUCUCGGCAACGGAUAUCUCGGCUCUCGCAUCGAUGAAGAACGUAGCGAAAUGCGAUACUUGGUGUGAAUUGCAGAAUCCCGUGAACCAUCGAGUCUUUGAACGCAAGUUGCGCCCGAAGCCUCGGCUAAGGGCACGUCUGCCUGGGCGUCACGC
RNAcentral lists this ribosomal RNA (160 nucleotides) under Gypsophila uralensis. RNAcentral describes it as "5.8S ribosomal RNA". It matches the Rfam family "5.8S ribosomal RNA". Rfam says of the family: 5.8S ribosomal RNA (5.8S rRNA) is a component of the large subunit of the eukaryotic ribosome. It is transcribed by RNA polymerase I as part of the 45S precursor that also contains 18S and 28S rRNA. Functionally, it is thought that 5.8S rRNA may be involved in ribosome translocation. Lineage: Eukaryota; Viridiplantae; Streptophyta; Magnoliopsida; Caryophyllales; Caryophyllaceae. The record is from RNAcentral. RNAcentral also lists the same sequence under 1 other name.